CUACGGGGCUGCACCAGUGAGGAAUAUUGCACAAUGGGGGGAACCCUGAUGCAGCAACGCCGCGUGGAGGAUGACGCAUUUCGGUGUGUAAACUCCUUUUAUAUGUCAAGAAAAUGACGGUAGCAUAUGAAUAAGCACCGGCUAACUCCGUGCCAGCAGCCGCGGUAAUACGGAGGGUGCAAGCGUUACUCGGAAUCACUGGGCGUAAAGGACGCGUAGGCGGGUUGGAAAGUCAGGUGUGAAAUCCUACAGCUUAACUGUAGAACUGCACUUGAAACUUCUAAUCUAGAGUAUGGGAGGGGGAGAUGGAAUUAGUGGUGUAGGGGUAAAAUCCGUAGAUAUCACUAGGAAUACCUAAAGCGAAGGCGAUCUCCUGGAACAUUACUGACGCUAAGGCGUGAAGGCGUGGGGAGCAAACAGGAUUAGAUACCCUCGUAGUC
RNAcentral lists this ribosomal RNA (440 nucleotides) under uncultured bacterium. RNAcentral describes it as "partial 16S ribosomal RNA". It matches the Rfam family "Bacterial small subunit ribosomal RNA", at positions 339 to 795 of the family's 1533-position model. The record is from RNAcentral.